AAACCAAUCCAGCGUGCUGGGUCUUGGGCUUUCGCCUCUGGGCGGGCCUCAAAGUCAGUGGCGGUGCUGCCAGGCUCUAAGCGUAGUAAUUCUUCUCGCUACAGGGUCCUGGUGGAGGCUUGCCAAUAACCCCAAAUAUUUCAAA
This 145-nucleotide unclassified non-coding RNA is filed under the name uncultured Helotiales. RNAcentral's name for it is "sequence contains ITS2". RNAcentral also lists the same sequence under 1 other name. Lineage: Eukaryota; Fungi; Ascomycota; Leotiomycetes; Helotiales. The record is from RNAcentral.